RNAcentral lists this ribosomal RNA (253 nucleotides) under uncultured bacterium. RNAcentral describes it as "partial 16S ribosomal RNA". It matches the Rfam family "Bacterial small subunit ribosomal RNA", at positions 524 to 776 of the family's 1533-position model. The record is from RNAcentral.
UACGUAGGGCGCAAGCGUUGUCCGGAAUUAUUGGGCGUAAAGAGCUCGUAGGCGGUCUGUUGCGUCCGUUGUGAAAACUCGAGGCUCAACCUCGGGCUUGCAGUGGAUACGGGCAGACUAGAGUGCGGUAGGGGAGAAUGGAAUUCCUGGUGUAGCGGUGGAAUGCGCAGAUAUCAGGAGGAACACCGAUGGCGAAGGCAGGUCUCUGGGCCGCAACUGACGCUGAGGAGCGGAAGCAUGGGGAGCGAACAGG